Pelobates cultripes (western spadefoot toad) is the source of this 403-nucleotide non-coding RNA. NCBI's taxonomy places the organism in Eukaryota, Metazoa, Chordata, Amphibia, Anura, Pelobatidae. The record is from the annotation of a GenBank genome assembly.
GGAGAUGUUGGUGGAUGCCACACUAAUGCUUCCCCACACUCAUGAUCUCCUUUGAGAUCUGUUAGACAACUGCAUCCCCUCCCCCUUCAAGACUGACUUCAACUCUCGGUCUGGACUUUUUCAGGGGAUCCUAGAAUGUCUCAGUCUAACUGGACACAACUAAAGAUCUACUUUGGGAUUCAUAGGUGCCAGAUACCAAGAAUUCUUACCAUUCCACUAGGUGUCUUUGAUAUAGCUAGACCUUGAUCCCUUUUCAACCUCUGUAAUGCAUAUUCAAAUUUUGGACCUCUCUAUAUGACCAAAGAACAUUUUCUGCUCUGCUUUUCCAGCAGCCUUGGUUUCUUUUGACAGAUCUUCUAUAGGUAGGAACACUUAGGUCAAUAAACUAUUACGUAAAAAAAAA